GACGAACGCUGGCGGCGUGCUUAACACAUGCAAGUCGAACGGAAAGGCCCUGCUUGCAGGGUACUCGAGUGGCGAACGGGUGAGUAACACGUGGGUGAUCUGCCCUGCACUUCGGGAUAAGCCUGGGAAACUGGGUCUAAUACCGGAUAGGAGCCAUUUUUAGUGUGAUGGUUGGAAAGUUUUUUCGGUGUAGGAUGAGCUCGCGGCCUACCAGCUUGUUGGUGGGGUAAUGGCCUACCAAGGCGGCGACGGGUAGCCGGCCUGAGAGGGUGGACGGCCACAUUGGGACUGAGAUACGGCCCAGACUCCUACGGGAGGCAGCAGUGGGGAAUAUUGCACAAUGGGCGCAAGCCUGAUGCAGCGACGCCGCGUGGGGGAUGACGGCCUUCGGGUUGUAAACUCCUUUCGCUAGGGACGAAGCUUUUUGUGACGGUACCUAGAGAAGAAGCACCGGCUAACUACGUG
RNAcentral lists this ribosomal RNA (465 nucleotides) under uncultured bacterium. RNAcentral describes it as "partial 16S ribosomal RNA". It matches the Rfam family "Bacterial small subunit ribosomal RNA", at positions 28 to 507 of the family's 1533-position model. The record is from RNAcentral.